UUGGGAUAGCUCAGUUGGCAGAGCAGAGGAC
This 31-nucleotide transfer RNA is filed under the name Disperis cucullata. RNAcentral's name for it is "partial tRNA-Phe". The record is from RNAcentral. Lineage: Eukaryota; Viridiplantae; Streptophyta; Magnoliopsida; Asparagales; Orchidaceae.